GCUCCCGUAGCCCAACUGGCAGAGGCAGAUGGCUUAAACCCGUCGCAGUGUGGGUUCGACCCCCACCGGGAGCACCG
Molecule: transfer RNA, 77 nt
Filed under: Aeromicrobium endophyticum
Lineage: Bacteria; Bacillati; Actinomycetota; Actinomycetes; Propionibacteriales; Nocardioidaceae
Description: Aeromicrobium sp. M2KJ-4 tRNA-Leu
Rfam family: tRNA
About the family: Transfer RNA (tRNA) molecules are approximately 80 nucleotides in length. Their secondary structure includes four short double-helical elements and three loops (D, anti-codon, and T loops). Further hydrogen bonds mediate the characteristic L-shaped molecular structure. tRNAs have two regions of fundamental functional importance: the anti-codon, which is responsible for specific mRNA codon recognition, and the 3' end, to which the tRNAs corresponding amino acid is attached (by aminoacyl-tRNA synthetases). tRNAs cope with the degeneracy of the genetic code in two manners: having more than one tRNA (with a specific anti-codon) for a particular amino acid; and 'wobble' base-pairing, i.e. permitting non-standard base-pairing at the 3rd anti-codon position.
Source: RNAcentral